RNAcentral lists this ribosomal RNA (479 nucleotides) under Microbacterium aurum. RNAcentral describes it as "bacterial SSU rRNA". It matches the Rfam family "Bacterial small subunit ribosomal RNA", at positions 22 to 511 of the family's 1533-position model. The record is from RNAcentral. Lineage: Bacteria; Bacillati; Actinomycetota; Actinomycetes; Micrococcales; Microbacteriaceae.
GCUCAGGAUGAACGCUGGCGGCGUGCUUAACACAUGCAAGUCGAACGGUGAAAGCGGAGCUUGCUCCUGCUGGAUCAGUGGCGAACGGGUGAGUAACACGUGAGCAAUCUGCCCUUGACUCUGGGAUAAGCGCUGGAAACGGCGUCUAAUACCGGAUACGAGCUGCGAAGGCAUCUUCAGCAGCUGGAAAGAACUUCGGUCAAGGAUGAGCUCGCGGCCUAUCAGCUUGUUGGUGAGGUAACGGCUCACCAAGGCGUCGACGGGUAGCCGGCCUGAGAGGGUGACCGGCCACACUGGGACUGAGACACGGCCCAGACUCCUACGGGAGGCAGCAGUGGGGAAUAUUGCACAAUGGGCGCAAGCCUGAUGCAGCAACGCCGCGUGAGGGACGACGGCCUUCGGGUUGUAAACCUCUUUUAGCAGGGAAGAAGCGAAAGUGACGGUACCUGCAGAAAAAGCACCGGCUAACUACGUGCCAG